RNAcentral lists this ribosomal RNA (33 nucleotides) under Dactylis glomerata (orchard grass). RNAcentral's name for it is "partial 26S ribosomal RNA". Lineage: Eukaryota; Viridiplantae; Streptophyta; Magnoliopsida; Poales; Poaceae. The record is from RNAcentral.
GCGACCCCAGGUCAGACGGGACCACCCGCUGAA